GACGAACCGUGCGAACGUUGUUCGGAAUCACUGGGCUUAAAGGGCGCGUAGGCGGGCUCUCAAGUCAGGGGUGAAAGCCCCCAGCUCAACUGGGGAAGUGCCUUUGAUACUGGUGGUCUCGAGGGGGAUAGGGGCAUGCGGAACUUCCGGUGGAGCGGUGAAAUGCGUAGAUAUCGGAAGGAACACCGGUGGCGAAAGCGGCGUGCUGGAUCCCUUCUGACGCUGAGGCGCGAAAGCCAGGGGAGCGAACGGG
RNAcentral lists this ribosomal RNA (253 nucleotides) under uncultured bacterium. RNAcentral describes it as "partial 16S ribosomal RNA". It matches the Rfam family "Bacterial small subunit ribosomal RNA", at positions 524 to 776 of the family's 1533-position model. The record is from RNAcentral.